Molecule: non-coding RNA, 24 nt
Filed under: Mus musculus (house mouse)
Lineage: Eukaryota; Metazoa; Chordata; Mammalia; Rodentia; Muridae
Source: RNAcentral
UUAUAGUAACGGCAGGAUACUAGG